Molecule: ribosomal RNA, 1485 nt
Filed under: uncultured marine bacterium
Lineage: Bacteria
Description: bacterial SSU rRNA
Rfam family: Bacterial small subunit ribosomal RNA
Source: RNAcentral
GAGUUUGCUCCUGGCUCAGGAUGAACGCUAGCGGCAGGCUUAACACAUGCAAGUCGAGGGGUAACGGGGAAGCUUGCUUCCGCCGACGACCGGCGCACGGGUGCGUAACGCGUAUACAAUCUACCUUAUACUGGGGUAUAGCCUUUAGAAAUGAAGAUUAACCCCCCAUAGUCUCUUAGAGUGGCAUCACUUCUAGAGUAAAGGUUACGGUAUAAGAUGAGUAUGCGUUCUAUUAGUUUGUUGGUGUGGUAACGGCACACCAAGACUACGAUAGAUAGGGGCCCUGAGAGGGGGAUCCCCCACACUGGUACUGAGACACGGACCAGACUCCUACGGGAGGCAGCAGUGAGGAAUAUUGGACAAUGGAGGCAACUCUGAUCCAGCCAUGCCGCGUGCAGGAAGACUGCCCUAUGGGUUGUAAACUGCUUUUAUACAGGAAGAAACACCUCUACGUGUAGAGGCUUGACGGUACUGUAAGAAUAAGGAUCGGCUAACUCCGUGCCAGCAGCCGCGGUAAUACGGAGGAUCCAAGCGUUAUCCGGAAUCAUUGGGUUUAAAGGGUCCGUAGGUGGAUAAUUAAGUCAGAGGUGAAAUCUUGCAGCUCAACUGUAAAAUUGCCUUUGAAACUGGUUAUCUUGAGUUAUUAUGAAGUAGUUAGAAUAUGUAGUGUAGCGUGAAAUGCAUAGAUAUUACAUAGAAUACCAAUUGCGAAGGCAGAUUACUAAUAAUCAACUGACACUGAUGGACGAAAGCGUGGGUAGCGAACAGGAUUAGAUACCCUGGUAGUCCACGCCGUAAACGAUGGUCACUAGCUGUUUGACCAACAUUGGUUGGUUGAGUGGCUAAGCGAAAGUGAUAAGUGACCCACCCGGGGAGUACGCUCGCAAGAGUGAAACUCAAAGGAAUUGACGGGGGCCCGCACAAGCGGUGGAGCAUGUGGUUUAAUUCGAUGAUACGCGAGGAACCUUACCAGGGCUUAAAUGUAAGUUGCAUGGACCAGAGAUGGACCUUUCUUCGGACUACUUACAAGGUGCUGCAUGGUUGUCGUCAGCUCGUGCCGUGAGGUGUCAGGUUAAGUCCUAUAACGAGCGCAACCCCCAUCGUUAGUUGCCAGCGGGUCAUGCCGGGAACUCUAACGAGACUGCCGGUGCAAACCGUGAGGAAGGUGGGGAUGACGUCAAAUCAUCACGGCCCUUACGUCCUGGGCCACACACGUGCUACAAUGGCCGGUACAGAGAGCAGCCACUCCGCGAGGAGGAGCGAAUCUUCAAAACCGGUCUCAGUUCGGAUCGCAGUCUGCAACUCGACUGCGUGAAGCUGGAAUCGCUAGUAAUCGGAUAUCAGCCAUGAUCCGGUGAAUACGUUCCCGGGCCUUGUACACACCGCCCGUCAAGCCAUGGAAGCUGGGAGUACCUGAAGUCGGUGAGCGCAAGCAGCUGCCUAGGGUAAAACUAGUAACUGGGGCUAAGUCGUAACAAGGUAACC